Molecule: ribosomal RNA, 766 nt
Filed under: Staphylococcus epidermidis
Lineage: Bacteria; Bacillati; Bacillota; Bacilli; Caryophanales; Staphylococcaceae
Description: bacterial SSU rRNA
Rfam family: Bacterial small subunit ribosomal RNA
Source: RNAcentral
GAUGAACGCUGGCGGCGUGCCUAAUACAUGCAAGUCGAGCGAACAGACGAGGAGCUUGCUCCUCUGAUGUUAGCGGCGGACGGGUGAGUAACACGUGGAUAACCUACCUAUAAGACUGGGAUAACUUCGGGAAACCGGAGCUAAUACCGGAUAACAUGUUAAACCGCAUGGUUCAACAGUGAAAGACGGUCUUGCUGUCACUUAUAGAUGGAUCCGCGCCGCAUUAGCUAGUUGGUAAGGUAACGGCUUACCAAGGCAACGAUGCGUAGCCGACCUGAGAGGGUGAUCGGCCACACUGGAACUGAGACACGGUCCAGACUCCUACGGGAGGCAGCAGUAGGGAAUCUGCCGCAAUGGGCGAAAGCCUGACGGAGCAACGCCGCGUGAGUGAAGAAGGUCUUCGGAUCGUAAAACUCUGUUAUUAGGGAAGAACAAAUGUGUAAGUAACUAUGCACGUCUUGACGGUACCUAAUCAGAAAGCCACGGCUAACUACGUGCCGGCAGCCGCGGUAAUACGUAGGUGGCAAGCGUUAUCCGGAAUUAUUGGGCGUAAAGCGCGCGUAGGCGGUUUUUUAAGUCUGAUGUGAAAACCCACGGCUCAACCGUGGAGGGUCAUUGGAAACUGGAAAACUUGAGUGCAGAAGAGGAAAGUGGAAUUCCAUGUGUAGCGGUGAAAUGCGCAGAGAUAUGGAGGAACACCAGUGGCGAAGGCGACUUUCUGGUCUGUAACUGACGCUGAUGUGCGAAAGCGUGGGGAUCAAACAGG